This 222-nucleotide unclassified non-coding RNA is filed under the name Hevea brasiliensis (rubber tree). Lineage: Eukaryota; Viridiplantae; Streptophyta; Magnoliopsida; Malpighiales; Euphorbiaceae. The record is from RNAcentral.
AACCCAAAGAAACAGGAACACUGGGCAAUUUCUGUUCAGGCUGAAUCCUCCACUCCUUGCAGACAGUAUUUCAUUGUGCAAGAAUACAUACGAAAAAUAUUUCCACUUCCUAUUCCAACUUGCAGAGUAAAACAGAAGGAGUUGAGAAGCUAACCAAACGAAAAGCAAGAGUGCAAUUGCAAUCUGACUGCUGUCCAUAACCCACGUAUUUAAUACCCAAGU